UUUGAUCCUGGCUCAGAGCGAACGUUAGCGGCGGGGCUUAACACAUGCAAGUCGAGCGAGAAAGGGGCUUCGGCCCUGAGUACAGCGGCGGACGGGUGAAUAACACGUAGGUAACCUUCCUUUCAGCGGGGGACAACGGUCCGAAAGGACCGCUAAUACCGCAUACGUUCCCUGGGACCUCGGUCCUGGGGAGGAAAGGCCCGCAAGGGCCACUGGAUGAGGGGCCUGCGUAGCAUCAGCUAGUUGGUGGGGUAAUGGCCUACCAAGGCGAAGACGCUUAGCUGGUCUGAGAGGAUGAUCAGCCACACUGGGACUGAGACACGGCCCAGACUCCUACGGGAGGCAGCAGUGGGGAAUAUUGGACAAUGGGCGCAAGCCUGAUCCAGCCACGCCGCGUGAGUGAUGAAGGCCUCGGUCGUAAGACUCUGUGGGGAGGGGACGGAACGGGACGGCCACUGAAGAGUGGCGAGUUGACGGUACCGUCCUUACGUCAAG
This 495-nucleotide ribosomal RNA is filed under the name uncultured bacterium. Its description in RNAcentral is "bacterial SSU rRNA". It matches the Rfam family "Bacterial small subunit ribosomal RNA", at positions 12 to 495 of the family's 1533-position model. The record is from RNAcentral.